UACGCUUGAAAGCGUGAGUGAUUUGGUUCUGUAAAGAUGGCCAGCGGGUUAGCCAUGGCCUCUUUAAAGGCUGCUGGACCUUGAGCCUCUACAAAUACUCAACACUAAGUGAGCUUGGGGUCCGAAAGUGAUGCUGGCUAGUAUUCUACGCAAGAUGAAAGGAUGAUUCUGGAAGUGUUCCCUUGCCCCGACACACACACACACCCCAUUCCACAACCAACCUCAAAACUGGUGUGAAGUCAGACACACAAAGGGGAGCCCAUCUGGGGGGAGAUAUGGGACAUUUAACACCCCCGCAUUUCCCUGCUUGCAUAAUGCUGUAGAAUAUCUGUAAUUUUUUAAUCUUUAAAUUGGGCCGGCUGCCAAGCCUCUUCUAGGCAUCGCCGCUGUUUUCCUCUAGCUCUCAACAAUAUAAAUCGUUGCCUGCAUUCUGGAUUUUAAAAAACCCGCCACCAGGCACCCGUUGCAGCUGCUCUGCCGUGAAAGACACCCUGUUCUAGGGCCUGGGUGAGGAUGUAGAGAUCCUGAUCAGAAGAAAUGUGGCAGCGGGAAAAACACGGAGCGGGCCUGACCAGGUGAGCCCCCUGUGAAGGUUAGGCAUGCUUCUGAUCAUCAGCCCACUGGUGUGUCCCCCUCCAUUCCAGUGGGCUGAAGGUGGCCUAGAAAAGCAAACUCAGCCAUGCGAUGCUAUUCAAGGAGACGGCCCUGAUGAGCUAGGACAGAAAACCCUACACAUCCCCUGCCUAUGGUCCAACUUUUAUUUUCCUGGCUAAGCCACCUGGCCUCUGGGUCUAGGAUCAGAGGGGAUCAACCUUAAAAGACAGCGCAGGGAGGCAGGGCGUGGACUUUGAGGUGGUUCCCACAGGCCACUUGGCCUCUGGAAUACGGCCAAGAAACACAGCAGCCACAGGAAGAGAAAAGGCGUCAUCCUGUCAGGGAAACUGGCUCACAGAAAAAGCCCUGAGUGUAAUAAUUUUUAGACUAAGAACACUUUGAAAGGAACAGCCAGGCCUAGUUUUUCCUCAGCCUUGUUAAUGAAUUUCUCCCAUGGUGUUAUUUGCUGAUUAAAGAAUCAGACUGGCAGAAGGGAAAAUCCUUUUUUUCCUUUGGUUUUAAGAAAUGUCAAUUGUAAGGUCUUGAGACGCUGUCAUUAAAAGUAGCCUUGUUCAUAUUU
Pogona vitticeps (central bearded dragon) is the source of this 1174-nucleotide non-coding RNA. The record is from RefSeq and is a predicted model, not a curated record. Lineage: Eukaryota; Metazoa; Chordata; Lepidosauria; Squamata; Agamidae.